RNAcentral lists this ribosomal RNA (896 nucleotides) under Penicillium sp. HT-M15-L. Its description in RNAcentral is "eukaryotic LSU rRNA". The stretch from base 663 to 896 matches the Rfam family "Eukaryotic large subunit ribosomal RNA", at positions 1 to 234 of the family's 3401-position model. Lineage: Eukaryota; Fungi; Ascomycota; Eurotiomycetes; Eurotiales; Aspergillaceae. The record is from RNAcentral.
GCCCGUCGCUACUACCGAUUGAAUGGCUCAGUGAGGCCUUGGGAUUGGCUUAGGAGGGUUGGCAACGACCCCCCAGAGCCGAAAACUUGGUCAAACUCGGUCAUUUAGAGGAAGUAAAAGUCGUAACAAGGUUUCCGUAGGUGAACCUGCGGAAGGAUCAUUACCGAGUGAGGGCCCUUUGGGUCCAACCUCCCACCCGUGUUUAUUUUACCUUGUUGCUUCGGCGGGCCCGCCUUUACUGGCCGCCGGGGGGCUUCACGCCCCCGGGCCCGCGCCCGCCGAAGACACCCUCGAACUCUGUCUGAAGAUUGAAGUCUGAGUGAAAAUAUAAAUUAUUUAAAACUUUCAACAACGGAUCUCUUGGUUCCGGCAUCGAUGAAGAACGCAGCGAAAUGCGAUACGUAAUGUGAAUUGCAAAUUCAGUGAAUCAUCGAGUCUUUGAACGCACAUUGCGCCCCCUGGUAUUCCGGGGGGCAUGCCUGUCCGAGCGUCAUUGCUGCCCUCAAGCCCGGCUUGUGUGUUGGGCCCCGUCCUCCGAUUCCGGGGGACGGGCCCGAAAGGCAGCGGCGGCACCGCGUCCGGUCCUCGAGCGUAUGGGGCUUUGUCACCCGCUCCGUAGGCCCGGCCGGCGCUUGCCGAUCAACCCAAAUUUUUAUCCAGGUUGACCUCGGAUCAGGUAGGGAUACCCGCUGAACUUAAGCAUAUCAAUAAGCGGAGGAAAAGAAACCAACAGGGAUUGCCCCAGUAACGGCGAGUGAAGCGCCAAGAGCUCAAAUUUGAAAGCUGGCUCUUUUGGAGUCCGCAUUGUAAUUUGCAGAGGAUGCUUCGGGACCUUUACACAUCUAAGUGCCCUGAACGGGACGUCAUAGAGGGUGAGAAUCCCGUAUGGAUGGGUU